CCGACUCCCCGAGGAGUCCUUUCCACCCGAGGGCCAGUGAGCCGGGGAAGAGGACUUCUCACUCCCAGAGCAAGAGGUGUCCCCCCAACUGGAUACAGACCUCCACCGCCACCCCCAACACAGGAGACCUAUGGAGAGUAUGACUAUGACGAUGGGUACAGUACAGCAUAUGAUGACCAGAGCUACGACUCCUAUGACAACAGCUACAGCACCCCAGCACAAAGCGGAGCGGAUUACUAUGAUUACGGGCAUGGACUCGGCGAGGAGGCUUAUGAUUCCUAUGGGCAAGAGGACUGGACUAACUCAAGACAUAAGGCUCCUUCGGCGAGGACAGCGAAGGGCGUCUACAGAGAGCAGCCAUAUGGCAGAUACUGACUGUACUGUCUGAUGUUGUGAAAUAGCCAAUCUCCACCGUCCUGUAUACUGUUCAAAGAAAUGUUGACCACCUUGGACUGUCAGAGGAGCUCCGUGUGACUUAGAGCAAACAAAGGAACUGCUUCUGGGAAGGCUGCUUACGGACGGUCACCUCACCCUCGUGCCUACUCAGCAAAUGAACCACCGGCUCUCGAACUUGACAGUCAUCAAUCGAUUAUUAUUGUUUUGUCCCAGAUUUAUGGUUUUUGGAAUGCUUUUAUGAAACUGUGCUUUUUUUUAAUUUAGAAGGUUUUUAUUUCUUCUUAAAGAAAAUUCUAUUUUGUUGUGUGAGAAACAAAAACUGAUUUGUAUUGUAACUAAUAAAGGCUCCCCAUCAAAAUCUCUUCUAUUUUAAUAUAAAUGAAGACCAAAAA
RNAcentral lists this long non-coding RNA (788 nucleotides) under Rattus norvegicus (Norway rat). RNAcentral describes it as "long non-coding RNA NONRATT026012". Lineage: Eukaryota; Metazoa; Chordata; Mammalia; Rodentia; Muridae. The record is from RNAcentral.